RNAcentral lists this ribosomal RNA (253 nucleotides) under uncultured bacterium. Its description in RNAcentral is "partial 16S ribosomal RNA". It matches the Rfam family "Bacterial small subunit ribosomal RNA", at positions 524 to 776 of the family's 1533-position model. The record is from RNAcentral.
GACGUAGGAGGCGAGCGUUGUCCGGCUUCAUUGGGCGUAAAGAGCGCGCAGGCGGCUUGGUAAGUCGGAUGUGAAAUCCCGAGGCUCAACCUCGGGUCUGCAUCCGAUACUGCCCGGCUAGAGGUAGGUAGGGGAGAUCGGAAUUCCUGGUGUAGCGGUGAAAUGCGCAGAUAUCAGGAGGAACACCGGUGGCGAAGGCGGAUCUCUGGGCCUUACCUGACGCUCAGGCGCGAAAGCUAGGGGAGCGAACUGG